AAGCCAUGAUGGGGGGCACUUGCGUAGGAGAUCCUUGAAUCUCUCGUGUGCUUCAAAAAAAGUGUCUCCGAGUCCCCUUGCAGGAAUGCAGAAAUUUCUUGCCUCAAUCU
This is a small nucleolar RNA of Dioscorea cayenensis subsp. rotundata (Guinea yam), 110 nucleotides long. NCBI's taxonomy places the organism in Eukaryota, Viridiplantae, Streptophyta, Magnoliopsida, Dioscoreales, Dioscoreaceae. The record is from RefSeq and is a predicted model, not a curated record.